UACGUAGGGCGCAAGCGUUAUCCGGAAUUAUUGGGCGUAAAGAGCUCGUAGGCGGUCUGUCGCGUCGGCUGUGAAAACUCGGGGCUCAACUCCGAGCUUGCAGUCGAUACGGGCAGGCUAGAGUUCGGCAGGGGAGACUGGAAUUCCUGGUGUAGCGGUGAAAUGCGCAGAUAUCAGGAGGAACACCGGUGGCGAAGGCGGGUCUCUGGGCCGAUACUGACGCUGAGGAGCGAAAGCGUGGGGAGCGAACAGG
Molecule: ribosomal RNA, 253 nt
Filed under: uncultured bacterium
Lineage: Bacteria
Description: partial 16S ribosomal RNA
Rfam family: Bacterial small subunit ribosomal RNA
Source: RNAcentral